Molecule: transfer RNA, 83 nt
Filed under: Chloroflexota bacterium
Lineage: Bacteria; Bacillati; Chloroflexota
Description: tRNA-Leu
Rfam family: tRNA
About the family: Transfer RNA (tRNA) molecules are approximately 80 nucleotides in length.
Source: RNAcentral
GCCGGGGUGGCGAAACGGCAGACGCGGCCGACUUAAAAUCGGCUCUCCGUGAGGAGGUAGGGGUUCGAGUCCCCUCCUCGGCA